RNAcentral lists this ribosomal RNA (334 nucleotides) under uncultured bacterium. Its description in RNAcentral is "bacterial SSU rRNA". It matches the Rfam family "Bacterial small subunit ribosomal RNA", at positions 29 to 354 of the family's 1533-position model. The record is from RNAcentral.
AACGAACGCUGGCGGCGCGUUUUAAGCAUGCAAGUCGCACGGUAAGGAGGACUUCGGUUCUCCCUAGAGUGGCGGACGGGUGAGUAACACGUGGACAACCUACCCUUUAGUUGGGGAUAGCCCAUGGAAACAUGGGGUAAUACCGAAUACGACUAAGCUGACACAAGUGAGCUUAAGGAAAGGCGCUAAGGCGCCGCUGAGGGAUGGGUCCGCGGUCCAUUAGCUAGUUGGUGAGGUAACGGCUCACCAAGGCGAUGAUGGAUAGCCGGCCUGAGAGGGCGACCGGCCACAUUGGGACUGAGACACGGCCCAGACUCCUACGGGAGGCAGCAUG